UACAGAGGUCUCAAGCGUUGUUCGGAUUCAUUGGGCGUAAAGGGUGCGUAGGCGGCGCGGUAGGUCGGGUGUGAAAUCUUGGAGCUUAACUCCGAAACUGCAUUCGAUACUGCCGUGCUUGAGGACUGGAGAGGAGACUGGAAUUUACGGUGUAGCGGUGAAAUGCGUAGAUAUCGUAAGGAAGACCAGUGGCGAAGGCGGGUCUCUGGACAGUUCCUGACGCUGAGGCACGAAGGUCAGGGGAGCAAACGGG
This 253-nucleotide ribosomal RNA is filed under the name uncultured bacterium. RNAcentral describes it as "partial 16S ribosomal RNA". It matches the Rfam family "Bacterial small subunit ribosomal RNA", at positions 524 to 776 of the family's 1533-position model. The record is from RNAcentral.